CCUACGGGUGGCUGCAGUGGGGAAUAUUGGACAAUGGGGGGAACCCUGAUCCAGCCAUGCCGCGUGUGUGAAGAAGGCCCUCGGGUUGUAAAGCACUUUCAGUGAGGAAGAACGCCUGGUGGUUAAUACCCAUCAGGAAAGACAUCACUCACAGAAGAAGCACCGGCUAACUCCGUGCCAGCAGCCGCGGUAAUACGGAGGGUGCGAGCGUUAAUCGGAAUUACUGGGCGUAAAGCGCGCGUAGGUGGCUUGAUAAGCCGGUUGUGAAAGCCCCGGGCUCAACCUGGGAACGGCAUCCGGAGCUGUCAAGCUAGAGUGCAGGAGAGGAAGGUAGAAUUCCCGGUGUAGCGGUGAAAUGCGUAGAGAUCGGGAGGAAUACCAGUGGCGAAGGCGGCCUUCUGGACUGACACUGACACUGAGGUGCGAAAGCGUGGGUAGCAAACAGGAUUAGAUACCCGGGUAGUC
Molecule: ribosomal RNA, 465 nt
Filed under: Vreelandella stevensii
Lineage: Bacteria; Pseudomonadati; Pseudomonadota; Gammaproteobacteria; Oceanospirillales; Halomonadaceae
Description: partial 16S ribosomal RNA
Rfam family: Bacterial small subunit ribosomal RNA
Source: RNAcentral